Perca flavescens (yellow perch) is the source of this 613-nucleotide long non-coding RNA. RefSeq lists it as uncharacterized. Lineage: Eukaryota; Metazoa; Chordata; Actinopteri; Perciformes; Percidae. The record is from RefSeq and is a predicted model, not a curated record. The transcript is spliced from 3 exons.
UUGAAGUCGUAACUUACGGGCUAAAAAUGGUGUCUGGAACACAGCAUAGGUCGGUUGAGGCUCGGCGAGAGAACGAGUUGCGUCAAUGAAAUUUACGCCCAUGGCCGAAGUGUUUAGCCUAGUCCCACUCUACUGUGCUGUGAUUGGCUAGUUCUACUGUAGUAUGCUCUAUUGACGUUCUGUUUCAACAUCGGACUACAUCGCAAGAGGGGUUUUGAAAAGACAUGGCCAAGAAGAUUCCGAGUGUAAUACACCAGGAUCAUACUAGUCAAGGCAUGAUGCAGUCGGAGUCUUAUUAUCAAUAUAGAAAGUGAUAAUAAUGAUGACAAUGGAUGAGAGAGGGAGCUCAUGUUAGAGGUUAACUGAGAUGUGAGGGUGUGUUGGCUGCCUACGUACAAGUGACAGGUUUGGCAAAACUCCAAGAGCUUUGACACAGACUAUCACCGAGUGCAUUCGUCAUCAGGAAUUCAAAGUUUGCAUCUCUGAAAUGACGAGGCCAUAACUACUUGUGAAGAACAUUUGCAAAUGGCUACAAACGCUUGCUGUUGUUGUUACUGCAUUAUGUUUUGGCUGAAAAAGACGUGCUACGAAAUAAAAGCUUUACUGAACGAUA